AGUGAACGCUGGCGGCAGGCCUAACACAUGCAAGUCGAACGGCAGGACAGUAAGAGCUUGCUCUUACGGGUGGCGAGUGGCGGACGGGUGAGGAAUACAUCGGAAUCUACUUUUUCGUGGGGGAUAACGUAGGGAAACUGACGCUAAUACCGCAUACGACCUACGGGAGAAAGCAAGGGAUCUUCGGACCUUGGGCGACAGAAUGAGCCGAUGUCGGCUUAGCUAGUUGGCGGGGUAAAGGACCACCAAGGCGACGAACCGUUGCUGGUCUGAGAGGAUGAUCAGCCACCCUGGAACUGAGGCACGGUCCCGGCUCCUACGGGAGGCCGCCGUGGGGAAUAUUUGACCAUGGGCCGAAGCCUUGUCCAGCCAUCCCGCGUGGGGUAAGAAGGCUUUCCGGUUGUAAAGCCCUUUUGUUGGGAAAGAAAAGCAGCAGGUUAAUACCCCGCUGUUCUGACGGUACCCAAAGCAUAAGCACCGGCUAACUUCGUG
RNAcentral lists this ribosomal RNA (492 nucleotides) under uncultured bacterium. Its description in RNAcentral is "partial 16S ribosomal RNA". It matches the Rfam family "Bacterial small subunit ribosomal RNA", at positions 29 to 507 of the family's 1533-position model. The record is from RNAcentral.